Molecule: ribosomal RNA, 483 nt
Filed under: uncultured bacterium
Lineage: Bacteria
Description: bacterial SSU rRNA
Rfam family: Bacterial small subunit ribosomal RNA
Source: RNAcentral
AGAGUUUGAUCAUGGCUCGAGGACGAACGCUGGCGGCGUGCUUAACACAUGCAAGUCGAACGGUAAGGCCCUUCGGGGUACACGAGUGGCGAACGGGUGAGUAACACGUGGGUGAUCUGCCCUGCACUUCGGGAUAAGCCUGGGAAACUGGGUCUAAUACCGGAUAGGACUCCUGGCUUCAUGGUUGGGGGUGUAAAGCUUUUGCGGUGUGGGAUGGGCCCGCGGCCUAUCAGCUUGUUGGUGGGGUAAUGGCCUACCAAGGCGACGACGGGUAGCCGGCCUGAGAGGGUGACCGGCCACACUGGGACUGAGAUACGGCCCAGACUCCUACGGGAGGCAGCAGUGGGGAAUAUUGCACAAUGGGCGCAAGCCUGAUGCAGCGACGCCGCGUGAGGGAUGACGGCCUUCGGGUUGUAAACCUCUUUCAAUAGGGACGAAGCGCAAGUGACGGUACCUAUAGAAGAAGGACCGGCCAACUACGUG